Molecule: transfer RNA, 72 nt
Filed under: Camelus bactrianus (Bactrian camel)
Lineage: Eukaryota; Metazoa; Chordata; Mammalia; Artiodactyla; Camelidae
Also listed under: 2 other names
Rfam family: tRNA
About the family: Transfer RNA (tRNA) molecules are approximately 80 nucleotides in length.
Source: Rfam by way of RNAcentral
GAGGGGAUAGCACAGUGGUAGAGCACAUGCUUAGCACACACAAAGUCCUGGGUUCAAUCCCCAGUACCUCCA